This 22-nucleotide non-coding RNA is filed under the name Rattus norvegicus (Norway rat). The record is from RNAcentral. Lineage: Eukaryota; Metazoa; Chordata; Mammalia; Rodentia; Muridae.
CGUUUUGGUGACUCCUCUUAUG